AGUGAACGCUGGCGGUAGGCCUAACACAUGCAAGUCGAACGGCAGCACAGUAAGAGCUUGCUCUUACGGGUGGCGAGUGGCGGACGGGUGAGGAAUACAUCGGAAUCUACUUUUUCGUGGGGGAUAACGUAGGGAAACUUACGCUAAUACCGCAUACGACCUACGGGUGAAAGCAGUGGAUCUUCUGACCUUGCGCGAUUGAAUGAGCCGAUGUCGGAUUAGCUAGUUGGCGGGGUAAAGGCCCACCAAGGCGACGAUCCGUAGCUGGUCUGAGAGGAGGAUAAGCCACACUGGAAGUGAGACACGGUCCAGACUCCUACGGGAGGCAGCAGUGGGGAAUAUGGGACAAUGGGCGCAAGCCUGAUCCAGCCAUACCGCGUGGGUGAAGAAGGCCUUCGGGUUGUAAAGACCUUUUGUUGGGAAAGAAAAGCAGCAGGUUAAUACCCAGCUGUUGUGACGGUACCCAAAGAAUAAGCACCGGCUAACUUCGUG
RNAcentral lists this ribosomal RNA (492 nucleotides) under uncultured bacterium. Its description in RNAcentral is "partial 16S ribosomal RNA". It matches the Rfam family "Bacterial small subunit ribosomal RNA", at positions 29 to 507 of the family's 1533-position model. The record is from RNAcentral.